This 402-nucleotide ribosomal RNA is filed under the name uncultured bacterium. RNAcentral describes it as "bacterial SSU rRNA". It matches the Rfam family "Bacterial small subunit ribosomal RNA", at positions 362 to 758 of the family's 1533-position model. The record is from RNAcentral.
UAUUGGACAAUGGGCGCAAGCCUGAUCCAGCAAUACCGCGUGUGUGAAGAAGGCCUUAGGGUUGUAAAGCACCUUCAAUUGGGAGGAAAACCUGCCGGUCAAUACCCGGUAGCUUGACAUUACCUUUAGAAGAAGCACCGGCUAACUCCGUGCCAGCAGCCGCGGUAAUACGGAGGGUGCGAGCGUUAAUCGGAAUUACUGGGCGUAAAGCGUGCGUAGGCGGUUCGUUAAGUCAGAUGUGAAAGCCCUGGGCUCAACCUGGGAACGGCAUUUGAAACUGGCGGACUAGAGUUUAGUAGAGGGGAGUGGAAUUUCAGGUGUAGCGGUGAAAUGCGUAGAUAUCUGAAAGAACACCAGUGGCGAAGGCGACUCCCUGGACUAGAACUGACGCUGAGUACGAAA